GCCUGGGUGGCUCAGCUGGUUAAGCAUCCAAUUUUCGCUUAGGUCAUGAUCUCAUGAUUUGUGGGUUCAAGUCCCACAUCGGGCU
Molecule: transfer RNA, 85 nt
Filed under: Felis catus (domestic cat)
Lineage: Eukaryota; Metazoa; Chordata; Mammalia; Carnivora; Felidae
Rfam family: tRNA
About the family: Transfer RNA (tRNA) molecules are approximately 80 nucleotides in length. Their secondary structure includes four short double-helical elements and three loops (D, anti-codon, and T loops). Further hydrogen bonds mediate the characteristic L-shaped molecular structure. tRNAs have two regions of fundamental functional importance: the anti-codon, which is responsible for specific mRNA codon recognition, and the 3' end, to which the tRNAs corresponding amino acid is attached (by aminoacyl-tRNA synthetases). tRNAs cope with the degeneracy of the genetic code in two manners: having more than one tRNA (with a specific anti-codon) for a particular amino acid; and 'wobble' base-pairing, i.e. permitting non-standard base-pairing at the 3rd anti-codon position.
Source: Rfam by way of RNAcentral